AACGCACCUUGCGCCCUUUGGUAUUCCGAAGGGCAUGCCUGUUUGAGUGUCAUUAAAUUAUCAACCUUGCUCGCUUUUACCGGCUUGAGUCAGGCUUGGAUGUGAGGGCUUUGCUGGCUGUGAAGUCGGCUCCUCUGAAAUGCAUUGGCAAAUGCGUGUGCAUGAGUCGGCCUUUCGGUGUGAUAAUGAUCACCGUGGCUGGAUUGCUUUAACGUCUAUGCCCAACCUUUUCCAUUGACUUGGAAAAACCCCACUUGACAUUUUGACCUCAAAUCAGGUAGGACUACCCGCUGAACUUAA
Molecule: ribosomal RNA, 300 nt
Filed under: uncultured fungus
Lineage: Eukaryota; Fungi
Description: eukaryotic LSU rRNA
Rfam family: 5.8S ribosomal RNA (bases 1-52)
Source: RNAcentral